RNAcentral lists this non-coding RNA (28 nucleotides) under Mus musculus (house mouse). Lineage: Eukaryota; Metazoa; Chordata; Mammalia; Rodentia; Muridae. The record is from RNAcentral.
UGUUCAUUAAUUGUCUAGAGUGCUUAGG